GUGGGGAAUUUUCCGCAAUGGGCGAAAGCCUGACGGAGCAAUACCGCGUGAGGGAAGAAGGUCUGUGGAUUGUAAACCUCUUUUGUUAGGGAAGAUAAUGACGGUACCUAACGAAUAAGCAUCGGCUAACUCCGUGCCAGCAGCCGCGGUAAGACGGAGGAUGCAAGCGUUAUCCGGAAUUAUUGGGCGUAAAGCGUACGUAGGCGGUUUUAUAAGUCUGUUGUCAAAGCCCGAGGCUUAACCUUGGAAAGGCAAUGGAAACUGUAAGACUAGAGAGAGAUAGGGGCAGGAGGAAUUCCAGGUGUAGCGGUGAAAUGCGUAGAUAUCUGGAAGAACACCAGUGGCGAAAGCGUCCUGCUGGAUCUCAACUGACGCUGAAGUACGAAAGCUAGGGGAGCGAAUGGGAUUAGAAACCCUUGUAGUCC
RNAcentral lists this ribosomal RNA (425 nucleotides) under uncultured bacterium. RNAcentral's name for it is "bacterial SSU rRNA". It matches the Rfam family "Bacterial small subunit ribosomal RNA", at positions 354 to 796 of the family's 1533-position model. The record is from RNAcentral.